Molecule: small nucleolar RNA, 107 nt
Filed under: Sorghum bicolor (sorghum)
Lineage: Eukaryota; Viridiplantae; Streptophyta; Magnoliopsida; Poales; Poaceae
Description: Plant small nucleolar RNA R71
Rfam family: Plant small nucleolar RNA R71
About the family: R71 is a member of the C/D box family of snoRNAs containing the C (UGAUGA) and D (CUGA) box motifs. Multiple nearly identical copies of this snoRNA have been identified in Arabidopsis, and it is thought to function as a 2'-O-ribose methylation guide for 18S ribosomal RNA.
Source: Rfam by way of RNAcentral
AUCCUAGGAUGAGGACAAGCGCGAAUGUACUCAUUAAGACGUUCGCAUGCUUCAGGAAUCAUCUCCUCGGACUAUUGUUGGAAGCUCAAAAUCUUCCCAGGUAGGGC